Molecule: transfer RNA, 85 nt
Filed under: Felis catus (domestic cat)
Lineage: Eukaryota; Metazoa; Chordata; Mammalia; Carnivora; Felidae
Rfam family: tRNA
About the family: Transfer RNA (tRNA) molecules are approximately 80 nucleotides in length. Their secondary structure includes four short double-helical elements and three loops (D, anti-codon, and T loops). Further hydrogen bonds mediate the characteristic L-shaped molecular structure. tRNAs have two regions of fundamental functional importance: the anti-codon, which is responsible for specific mRNA codon recognition, and the 3' end, to which the tRNAs corresponding amino acid is attached (by aminoacyl-tRNA synthetases). tRNAs cope with the degeneracy of the genetic code in two manners: having more than one tRNA (with a specific anti-codon) for a particular amino acid; and 'wobble' base-pairing, i.e. permitting non-standard base-pairing at the 3rd anti-codon position.
Source: Rfam by way of RNAcentral
GCCUGGGUGGCUCAGUCGGUUGAGCUUCCGACUUUGGCUCAGGUCAUGAUCUCACGGUUUGUGGGUUCGAGCCCCACAUCGGGCU